CCAAAGGCUCUUUUCAGAGCCACUUCAGUUGUUGGAAAAGCAGCUGU
This is a non-coding RNA of Myotis lucifugus (little brown bat), 47 nucleotides long. The record is from Rfam. NCBI's taxonomy places the organism in Eukaryota, Metazoa, Chordata, Mammalia, Chiroptera, Vespertilionidae.